Transfer RNA from Felis catus (domestic cat), 85 nucleotides. It matches the Rfam family "tRNA". From Rfam's summary of the family: Transfer RNA (tRNA) molecules are approximately 80 nucleotides in length. NCBI's taxonomy places the organism in Eukaryota, Metazoa, Chordata, Mammalia, Carnivora, Felidae. The record is from Rfam.
GCCUGGGUGGCUCAGCCAGUUGAGCAUCCGACUUCGGCUCAGGUCAUGAUCUCACGGUUCGUGGGUUCGAGCCCCAUGUCAGGCU